Molecule: long non-coding RNA, 11591 nt
Filed under: Cucumis sativus (cucumber)
Lineage: Eukaryota; Viridiplantae; Streptophyta; Magnoliopsida; Cucurbitales; Cucurbitaceae
Description: long non-coding RNA (CSAT_LNC001002)
Source: RNAcentral
UUCCCAACAUUUCAUUGCUCCAAACCCCAAACUCUUUGAUUGUGUAAAAGAAACCUCAUAUACACUAAACAGUCCUCAGAAAACUUUAUCCUCCUCCUACCAACUUUAAGCCAACGAGCUGGAAAAAUUAGCCUCUUCAUGUGGCAAUAAAUCUUCAAGGAUUUGUUUCACAUGUCACAUCCUUGGAGAUCCCUUUUUAUUGACGACCUCUUAAAUUACCACUCAACUUACCAAUUUGGCAAUUUGAGUAUACCUCAGUUAAUAAGACACCAGAUUACCAUAGUCGUUUGAUCCCCUACUUCCUGGCCCGGAAACAUUUUUACUCAAUGAAAGAAAAAAAUUCACUACUAACCCAAAAGGUUACCCCAGGAAAUUUGCACAAUACCCAAUGAAUGGGUUUCUCUUUGAUUAGAAAUCUUCACAGUACCCAACGAAUGGUGUAUACAUAUAAUGAAGAAACAAGCCACAUCUCUAAGUAAAGAGACACCAAAUGGCCUAGAACAGCCUAAGAUAAUAGACAAGAGGACAAGUUGGCCUUUCUCUUUGAGUUUACAUAAAGGCCCUCCAAUCUAAGUUGAUGGAAAUAGGAUUGCAAAAUAAGUUUGUGUUAGUCACUUUUUUUUUUAUAAAAUGGAAACAAGUCUCUUCAUUAAGAUAAUGAAAUCAGACUAAUGCUCAAAGCACAAAGAGAGAUACAAUAGUACAAGAGCUAAGGAUCAAAAAGGUGUACUCGAGCAUCUUAACUAGGUUGACAUCUUCUUAGCACCCUCAUCAUAUCCAUAAUUGAUCUAAACAAGCGAAAACUGAAAAACAUGGAAACAAGAACACAAAAUCAAAAUAGAACAAUACAUUGCCCAAAAAAGAAAUUAAGUUGGAAAAAUAAAAGCACACCCAUUUGAACAAAUGUCUUGAAUGGAAAAAUCUUCAAAUUGCUUGGAAAAAGUAUACCAAGGUGCAUUUAUUUGAGCUACUUCAAAACGAUCCAUCCACCCGAGUUGUAUGGUGUGAAACACUUUGAUUCCUUUCAAACCAAAUUUCAUCCCAUAGCGCCUUAAUCACAUUAGCCCAAAUUAACCAAGGGCCUACUUUCAAAACUGAACCAGUGAGGAGUAGCCUAAUAUUAUCCCAAAACUCGACACCAAACCACCAAGCGACACUAAAAAUACUGGACAGACUCCACCAGCACUGAGCAGCAUAGAUGUUGGGUACUGUACAAGGUUACAAAAGUAUUUAAAAAGAGUUAAACUUAUCUGAAAGGUCCUAGCACUUUUUUUCUUUUCAAAUAAGCCAUAAGAUUGCCUUAGAAGGCAUGGUCUCUAGCACUUUGGAUUUUCUAUAAACCACCACCAGAGGGCACCUUCAAAAGCUGAUGUUUGACAGGGUUCAAAGCUUUUAUAAAAAUUUAGACUUGAAAAGACAUGAGCUAUUUUGUUGUAGUACAUCUAAUAAUCCAACCCUCAUAAAGUUUUAGCCUUAAGAAGGUCAAUAACAAAAUGCUUGGACCUACACCAUAUGCAAGUAAAUACACCUUUAGAUGAUAGUUGGUAGAACUGGUGCGUGGUUGGUUCACUGGGCUCAUGUCUUUUGAUGCUUAGUUAUUUUAAGACAAAAGAGUUAAUGCUUGGUGCUUAAGGGAGCAUUUGGGGCAAGGAGUGAAGUUGUUUAAUUUGGAAAGUUGUUAAAUCUAGGAAGUUAUUUAGUUGUGGGCCAAUAGUAACUUAAAACCCUUUGGGCCAAACUGUCUCUGGUCUUUUUUGAAUGUAAGUCUCUGUUUCUUGAAAAUAAAAAAUAGAAAAAGAAAAAAAAAAUCCUCUUUGGGCCAAAGAAGGAACUAACUCCACUCCCCCAACUUCUAGUCCUCGGGUCAAUAUAUGCUCUAACUGAUUAGGAUCUAGCCUUCAAAAUAUAAACCUUCAAAUUUGUGGCUUUAUGUAUGUUGAUGCUUUGGUGACGGUCAAUAGUGAAUAAUAAGAUGUAAUCCUUAUUCCUUAAUCCUUAGAUUGUUGACCAUAGAGCUUUUAAUAUUCCUAGACAAUAUCUGUUAUGCAUUUGAAACUUUAGUUACUGCUUGCAAUCUUGUUCUCCUAAUUGUAUGGUUCCCUUGCUGUUAAGAGUUGUUUCUUAAAAAUAGAACUACUUUCAAACAAAUUUUGCUGUUUGUCUGAAUGCUAGAGCAGAAUGUUGCAGGGAUAAAUUUGAGUCUUGAUGUCUCCAAGUGGUCGCACAUUCUUCAUCUGGACAGGCUCCAGUCAGCUGCAGGUAAAUAAGGCUACUUUCUUUAUCUAAAUGUUUCCUGCAAUGAUGUAAUGACUUGAAAUGCUUUCUUUUAAUGUUGACACAGACCAUUCAUAGAAAACCAGCCUUGUAUUUUGAUAGAAUUGGUUUCGUGGCCUUCAUGCUUAUGAUCAUGGUAAUUGAUCUUUGCUUGGAGAUAAUUAUUUAUCCCCUCUUAGGCUUUCGUUCUACACAUAAGUAGCAUAGGCAAUAUAUGAUAUAUAAUAUAAAUUCCUAUGAAAUGCAUAGACAAGGCUUGAAUACAAGGAAUUCGACCAAAGUUUAGGCCGGGAGAUCAUUGAAAAGCUUAUGAAUGGGCUAGAACCAAGAAAAUAGAGUAGCUAUAAAAAUGUUACGAUCUAGCUGCCAAUAAUUGAUAUUGAAGCAAACAAGAUCUUAUACCUCCCAUGUCCCAACCUCUAUCUCUCUCUUUGUUUUCUUUAUAUCUUUCUUUCUUUCUUCCUUCUUAAUACAUGAAGUUAUAUGAUUCUUCAUUCAAAAUAUUCCAAAAACAGGGGAUGAGAAAGAGGGCACAUCAAUAGGUCAUAAUAUUCCAAACACAUGAAAUUUACAAUUCUUCUUCUUGAGAGUCAUCCUUUUCGUCUUGGGAGGAGGAAUGUGAGGGUUUGGAGCCCUAAUCCUUUGGAGGGGUUCUCGUGUUAGUCUUUCUUUCAGUGUCUAGUUAACCCUUCCCUUGCCGGUGAAUCGGUCUUCUCUUUGGUGUGGAGGGUUAAGGUCCCUAGAAAGGUGAGGUUCUUUACCUGCCAGGUUUUUCAUGACCGUAUUAGUAUGUUGGAUAGACUUUCUAGAAAUAUGCCUUUGUUAGUUGGACCUUUUUGUUGUAUUCUAUGUCAGAAGACAGAGGAAGACUUGGACCAUGUUCUUUGGCAUUGUGAGUUGGCAACCUGUGUUUGGGAUGCCUUUUUACAGACAUUCAGUAUUUCGUAUGCUUGCCAUAGAGAUGUUUGAGUGAUGAUCGAGGAGUUCCUCUUAAAUCCACCACUUGAGGAGAGAUGCCAUUUUCUUUGGCACGCUUGUGUUUGUGCCAUCUUGUGUGUGCUGUGGGAAUAGGAGGAUGUUUGGGGCGGGUUGAAAGGGAGAAUGGUGAAAUUUGGUGUAUUAAACGUUUUCUUGUUUGAUGUUUCUCAUUAGGCUUAGGGUUUAAGUUUAGGGAGUCGACGGAUGUGGCUUCUCUUCUUUCUUUGAUUGAGUGUUUUGAUUUUAGAUUGGGGAGAAGGGAUGUUUGGGUUUGUUUGUAUCCCUAAUUUGGCGGAUGAAUUUUCUUGCAAGUCUUUCUUAAGGAUUUUAAUUGACCCAUCUCCGUGUUUGAGUCGGUCUUUGAUGUUUUAUGGAGGUUAAAGAUUUGUAAGAAAGUCAGGUCCUUUGUCUGGAAAGUCCUGUUUGGCCAUGUGAACUUAAUGGAUAAGUUCUCGGGAAAGCUGCCUUUGUUAACGAGUCAUUUCUGUUGUAUCCUUUGUCGGAAGGGGAAGGAAAGCCUGAAUCAUUUUAUCUAGGAGUGUCUGUAUGGGAGAUCGACUUGGAACCUUUUUUCUUGCAGAAGUUAGAUGUUUUGUUGGCUUGCCAGAGGAACGUUCGCAUGAUGAUUGAGGAAUUACUACUUCACUCUCCUUUCAGAGAGGGAGAGGGCGUUUUCUUUGGUGUGCAGUAUGUUUUGUGAUUUGGGAUAUGUGGAGGGAGAGAAACAACAUAGUAUUUAGGUGUAUGAAGAGGGACCUAGUGAGGUUUGGUCCUUGGGGAGAUUUCAUGUCUCUUUUUGGACUUUCUUUAGUGGGGUUCUCUUUUGGGGCUUGUUUUCUUGGAUGGCCUUGUGUUCUUUCAUUUUUUUUCUCAAUAAAAGCAGUUGUUUCUAUAAAAUAACUGUUUCUCAUUGGGCUCUGAUUUUGAAGAUUUUUUGUAAUUGAUUAGACUUAACUUUGUAUAGUUGGAUCCCCUAAGGGGGGUCCCCUGUCUUUUGUGGCCUUGGUUUUCUGUACGCCCAUGCAUUUUUUCUCCUUUUCUCAAUGAAAGUUGUUUCUACCCCCCCCCCCCCCCCCCCCCCCCCCAAAAAAAAAAAAAAAAAGAAGGAAAAAAGAAAGAAAAGGUCAUAGUCUGAAGCUGCCUAUUCCUUAUUCUGCUUGAAUUUGUCAAGUUUUGUGAAAGGCUCUUAUAUUUUACAAAGAAUGAAAGAACUUUAAAUAAUUGAAAGGUUAAAAACACUUUAUUAAAUUAGCUCCUCAACUUUAUUUUGUUUAUUUAGUUCCUUAACUUUAUUUUGUAAUGUUCAUGUGCUUUCAAGACUUUUACAAUUUCACCUCUAAACUUUACUAAUGUAACAAUUUUGUUCCCAAACUAUAACAUUUGUAACCAAUUAAUCCACAGUGAAACUUUUUAUCAAUGUUAUAUGAUUGUAGGAAUAGUUGGGAAACCUUUGGCUCCAGAAACUGAGGCUUUAUUUGGGAUUGCUUUGGCUGUCAAAAUAAAAUGUAAUAAUAAAUGUAGUAUGAAGUUAACUGGUAUUUGGUACAUUUGGACGUUAAACUCAUAUAGUUUUGAAGAUAGUCCAAUACCUUUCGUAGUCUUUGAAAUUAUGUAUUACUUCAUCGUAUAGUUUGGGAUUGAUUUUGGGAGGGUUAAAAGUGAUUUUUGAAGAAUCUUAACUACUUUUUGUGCUUGGUAAUAUAUUGGAAUUAAAUCUAUUAAAAUCACUUUUAAAACACACAUUCAUUUCAGACCGUUUUAAAAAUUAGUUCCUUUUUAGCUUUUAGAUUCUAAAAAAACAUAUUUCACUUUUUAAUAAAUUUUCAAUGUUCUAAUUUAUACUUCAACAUUAAGAUUUAUUUUAUAUAUUUUGUAUCUUUCUCACAUAACCAAAAUCUAUCUCCUAAUUGUUCAUUAGUUGAAUGUAAAUAAAAUUUUCCAAUUGUACCAUAUUUAUUUUUCUUUAAUGGUAAAACUAUUUUCUUAUACUUAACCGUUUUAAACAAUUAUUUAAAAGAUUAUAAAUGAUGAAAAUAAAAAUACAAAUGUUAAUAAUAGGUUUAUUUUAGUUAUUAUAUAUAAAACAAAAUAAGUUAGUCUUUAAUUACUAAACAUAACUUGUUGAGGUCUAAGAUUGAAAUUUACGAAAUACUAAUUUGCUUCAAUUUACCGCAGAUCUUUCUAAAAGUACAAAAUUAUUUAAAAGCCUCAAAAGUCCCAAACGAAGCUUUUGACGCUAGGAUAAAAUUGAAAUUUAAAAGCAUGUUGGCAAAUACUCUAGAUUUUGGCUAUGUAGCAAUGGAGUUAUUGUACAUAUUGCUGAUGGCCUGUUUUGAUGUCUUUGCUUUGUGUUUUUUUUUUCAGUGCAAUGGCUCGUGAGAAGAAGUAAAAGUUUUGAACCAACAUACUUGUAUACUAGGGAAAAGGUUAUUUAUUUAUCUUUCCCAUCUAUUAUUGUUAUUAUAACUUCGCUAGAUCACUUCUGUUUUCUGAUUUAAAAAUGUAUUAUUUUCGCCUAUUUGAAUUAAUCCUGGUCUCUAGUACUUUUCACUAAAUGCUUUUCUAGUUGCUUGUAUUCCAUUUUUUGGCAAUAAGGUGGUUCAUAUGGUGCAGGGAUACUUUUUAUUACCAGAAGGAGCUAAGUCUAGGCAUAAUAUACAGACAGUGAAUAUAACUAUACCAGCUCAACAUUCAUGCUUUGGAAACAGGUAUAUCUCUUGAUAUGGUGAAUCUACUUUUUGAAUGUGGAAUAUUAUGUUUGUUGAUUCCUGUAGAAAAUAGUUCUAGAUCUCAAAGUACAAUUUAAGAUUUUUAACUCAUUAAUACUGUGAGAUUUUUCAUUUGUUCCUUGCACUUUUAAUGUCUUAAAUCACCGAUUUAACCAAAAAGAAGCUAGUGGAUAAGGGAAAAUUUAAUAUAUUAUCUUAGACUCCUCGGGCAAAUUUAAUAUAAUAUCUAACCGCUUAUCAUAACGGUUCUUUGUUAGUUUUUUUUCUGUCCUUAUACUUUUUUUUUUAGUGCAACUGCUUUGAUUUGAACAAGGUGAGGAAAAAGGGACAUAGUUCGCACUUCAACCUACUCAUUUGAACUUGUUUUCUUUUUCAAAAUUUAAAAUUAAAACAUUAUUGCUUGCUCAAUUAUUUCCAAAUGUGAUUUAGAUUAGUAAUUUUUCACUGAUGUAAAAGAGAGGGCAACUGGAUUUGAGGAUAAUUUGGAAGCCUCCCAAUCUAGAAACUAAGAAGAUGCCAAAAAGAAAGAUCCCAACUUAUCAAAAUGAAAAUAGUAAACAAUUGAUGAGCUGAAGAGCUAAUCUUUGAGGCUUGGAAACAAGGUAAAAAAUUCUCUAGGCUCCCUUGACACCAUCAAGAAUUCUUGGUUCUUUUCAAGCAUAAUUGUCAACAUAUAGCCUUGACUUAUAUUUGCCUCAUUCCCAAAAAGAAAGAGGUGGCCCGUGUCAAUGACUUCAGACCCAUAAGCUUAGUUACCUCCUUGUAUAAAGUUAUCUCCAAGGUGCUUGCAACAAGACUUAAAAAAGUUCUUCCUUCGAUAAUUAAUGAUUCUCAAAUGGCUUUUGUGGAGGGAAGGCAAAUUCUUGAUGCUAUUUUGAUUGCUUCUAAGGCUGUUGACGAGUGGUCUUUAAGAGGCAGAAAAUGCGUUCUUUUGAAGCUUGAUCUGGAGAAAGCUUAUGAUAAGGUGGAUUGGUCUUUUCUUGAUAUGGCCAUGAAACUUAAAGGCUUUGGUAAGAGAUGGAGGAAGUGGAUAUGGGGCUGCUUGUCGACAACUAAUUUUUCCAUCAUUGUCAACGGCAGGCCUAGAGGAAAGAUUCUUGCUAAAAGGGGCAUUCGUCAAGGUGAUCCUCUUGCCCCUUUUCUUUUUACGAUCGUGGGAGAUGCUCUAAGCUGCCUUAUUCACUAUUGUAAUGAGAACAGGAGUCUGAAAGGCUUCCAUUUUGAGAACCUGUCAGAUGAUUUAACCCACCUUAAGUAUGCAGAUGACACUCUUCUUUUUUCUUUCUGGAAGGAUGGAAACUUGGAGACUUGGUGGAAGGUGAUUAAUAUCUUUCUCAUGUGAGCCGGUCUAUCCCUUAAUAGAUCUAAAACUUCCCUGAUCGGUAUUAACCUUAAUAGUGGUGACUUAGCUCCUUAUAGUAACUCUAUGGGGUGCUCGGUUGAUAGUCUUCCCUUUAUCUAUUUGGGAUUUCCUAUUGGAGGGGGUCAUAAUAGAAAAGUGAUGUGGAACACCCUUGAAGAGCGAUUCAGAUAUAAAAUCGAUAGGUGGAGGAAUGUGUCCCUUUCUAAAGGGGGUAGACUAACUCUGGUGCAAUCAGUUCUCAAUAGUCUCCAUUGUUAUUUUUUUCCCUUGCUCAAGCUCCAACUAGUAUUAUCAAUAGAUUGGAAAAGAUGAUCAGGAAGUUUAUUUGGACAGGAGGGCUACGAAUCCAAUUGCCCACCUCGUCAAAUGGGAUUGCACUUCCCCCCGAUCUGUUAUGUUGGUCUUGGGAUUGGCUCGUUUAGGCAAAAGAACAUUGCUCUUCUCACUAAAUGGUUUUGGAAAUUAGUAAGGAAGAAGCCUCCUUAUGGAGGCGUUUAAUUAUGGCCAUUUACGGCUUAGAGGAGAAUGGGUGGUCUACUAAAGAUCCAAACAGGGGAAAAUCUUACAGAUUAUGGGCCGGUAUUUUAAAGCACAAGGAAAUCUUCUUUAAACUUUCAGCUUUUGUUCUGGGAGAAGGAACCAAAAUAAGUUUUUGGAAGGACAAUUGGUGUGCCGCGGAACCACUUGCAGAAAAAUUCCCCAACUUAUUCUCUUUGUCGUUGAAUAAGGAUGUUUAUGUGGCUGAAUGUUGGUGUACUGCUACUCAUUCGUGGAAUUUGGGCCUUAGAAGAAAUAUGUUCGAUAACGAGAUUGCCAAUGUGGCCUCAAUUCUAGAAAUUCUUCGUUCUUGGGCCCCCUCAGAUGGGAUUGAUAGUCUUAAAUGGACUCCUAACGUUAAUGGCAACUUUACUACGAAAUCUACCUUUCUCAACGUAACCAAGAGAUCCCCCUCCAUUGCUGUUCCUUUGAUUCGUCAUAUUUGGAAGAAUAAAAUUCCGAAAAAGAUGAAGUUUUUCUUAUGGCCGCUCGCUUACAGAAACCUUAACACUCAUGAGAAGCUACAAAAAAAAGUUCAGAACACCACGCUAAGCCCCUCGAUGUGUUGUCUUUGCUUCAAAGAAGAAGAAACUUUGGACCAUCUAUUUCUACAGUCUGUUUACUAAAAAAGCUUGGAACACUUUGUUUAGAAUUUUUGACUUGGAGAUUUGUCUUCCUAGUAAGAUUGAUAGCUGGAUGAUUGAAGGACUCAACAUUAGAGGUUAUAGCCCAAAAGGAAACAUCUUAUGGAAAUGUGCGACUCGGUCCCUUUUGUGGUGCAUUUGGAAAGAAAUGAAUAGUAGAAUUUUUUAAGAUAGCUAUAAUUCUGUUGAUUCUUUUUGGACUGUGUUGCAACACACAGCUUCUUGGUGGAGUAUGAAUUACACCAAACACUUUUGUAAUUAUAGCCUUUCAAUGAUUUUCAACAAUUGGAAGGCUAUCAUUUCUUAGUUUCUUCCGGGAAGGGCCCUCUUGUCCCUUGCCCUUAGGUUGUUCUUUUUUGUUAUAUGAAUACACUUGUUUCUUAUAAAAAAAAAAAUCAUUUCUCAUCCCAAAACAAGAUUCAUUUCUUUUGAUUGUAAUUUUGCUUGUCUUAGCAACAUUUUUGUUCUUUCUCGAACUAAAUGGACAUUUUAUGGGGUUAGCUAUGAAUUUUUAAAAUAAGAACUGCCAGGGAAGCAAUUAUUCCAUUAUCACAACCCUAAUAAUAAUGAUAAUGAUGAUUAUUUUUUGGCAGAUGGCAGCAACUUCUAAUAAACAGAUUUGUUGGGUAUGAUACUAUCUUGAUGAACAGCUUACUGACUUUUCCAGGUCAAGGUAAUAACUAUCUGUAUGUAGUUACUUUGUUAUGGUGGAAACUGGAAAAUGUUAUGUUUGCGUUGCAUGUGCUUUACUUGAAAUCACCUGGUUUUCUUUCUCUUCCGCAUCUUCAAUUGGCAUUUUGUAGACUUGUUAAAAUUACCGCAAGUAAUUGAUUUAGUGUAAAGAGUAAUUUUUCAGCUUCAAAAUCUUUUUCAAUCUCUCUCUCUUAAUUAUUAUUAUUCAAAAAAAAAAAACUUUCAUGGUGAUAGAUGAAAGGAUAUACAAGGGCAAUCAUUGUUUAAGCCAGAGUGGUUUUCUUAGGACUAGUUAUGUUUUAUUUAUGAGUUACUAUGAUUUAUCUGUAACCUUAAACGAGUGACCAACCUCAGCAUAGCUCAAUUAUCACUAUUGUUUUGUUUACAUAGGAGGAUGUAUACUAUCAUUUGCAUCUCCAGCUAAGUUUAGAUUUGUUUCAGGCUAUCUUUACAAUUACCAAACGAAAGAGUUCUACAAUCUUAGCUAUGCAUUUGAGCCGCCAGAGGGCCCUGCCAGAUUUGGAGGUUUGUUGAUUUUUCCUUUUUUUACUGCAUUGUGAUACGAUCCUUUUAUAUGAUGAUUUAAUAGCUGAAGGUUUAUGUUUAUUCACUAUAAUUCUCCAUGUGUUUAUUGUUCUUGCGGUUUAUUAAGUAGAGUUUAGGUUCGAAAUUGUGUCCUUUCUAAACAAACUUUUACCAUUCAACCAUUAAGGUUUCAAGUCUGUUCUCAACUUUUUUUUUUGAACAAGAAACAAAAUUCUGUUCUUAGUUUAAAUUUUUACAGGUCUGUUCUGCUACUAGGACUUUUUCUAUCCUCUUUAAUACGUGUGCAUUAUUUUAGUUACAUAUAAAUUUUGAUUAUGAAGGCUGACCUUUUCUGUUUCACACUUUUGGGGCUUGUUUUUUGUAAGCCCUUGUUCAUUUUGUCCAAAUAUCUGUUCUCACACCCUGUUUCCAUUCAGACUACUUCGUGACCAAGUGUGGUGUGCUCAUGAUGUCUCUCUUCGUUUUCUUCACUACCACCAUGUCGGUGUCAUUUACAUUGAGGGAAACACAGACUCGCAUGUUGAAGUUUACAGGUUCCUUUCUUUCAUUUGCUUUAUGAACUUAUGGCUAUCUGUAAAGUUCUGUUUCCCUGUUCUGCUUUAUAGCUUCAUGUGCGGCAUGCUCUAAUGGAUGCCUACAACUACAUUUUAUUUAGGGAGAUCUCCUAUCUACUGCCUGCAUAUGAGCCUCAAUAUGUUUAUGUUGCUCCUCCACCAUUGUUUUCUAUACAAAGUAUAAUGGUAGACUGUCAGUUAUGGUGGCGUACUAGACAUACAUAAUACACUGAUUCAGUGCACUUUCCAUCUCAUGGUGCCACGUGCAUAGCCACUGAUUAUAUAUAUAUUUAGAAUAAAAAAAUGUGAUUAAAUGUUGCAACUCUGUUGAACUACAGACGUAGGGAUUUUGUAGGUAGGGUCAUCAUUCAUUAGAAAUGGUGGCAUUAGAUAAAAUUCUUGGUACAAGACUUGAGUUAUAUCAAAGUUUUCUUUUGCUGCUCGUAGUAAAAUGGUUGAUUGAGUGGAGCUUGUUCUGCAUCCAACGGAUCACAUCUUAAAUAUUUUUUAGACACAUUCAUAUGGCUGGAUUCUGAGAUAUCUGGUCUGCUGGCAUGGUUAAUGAAUAUGUCCAUCCACUCUUACAUAUAUAGUAGAGCUAGGAAGGCUGCAUUAAUUAUCUUCAAAUAUAAUGGCUUUAGUCUUGUUUUUAAUUUCUGCAGUGCAGCUUCAACACCAUGCUCGACAUCAACUCCCAACUUUUCAGUUGAUCUUUGUGCAUGUAAUCGAGUCACUUGUCUUUGUUCCAGUAAGCACUCCAGAUUGUUGCUUUACUAUUGAUAUGUACGCCUGCUUAUAUUUCUAGAUUUGUUUUACUUUUUGGUGGUCCUACGGAGGAUUUUCUUGUUAACAGUCUAUUGUUUCGUUUGCAGAUUAUGAUUGGUAUACUAUUUUUUCUGUUUGAGUUUUAUGACGAUCAGCUCUUGGCUUUCAUGGUCUUGAUCCUGGUGUGGUUAAGUGAAUUAUUUACACUAAUUAGGUCUCUCUCUCGCUCUCACUCUCUCUCUCUCUCACAUAGCACACACUGUAGAUAUCUCCUGUAAAAUGACAACUGAUUUUUUAUUAUAAAAUCAACUUAAUGUUAUUGAAAGAAAAUGAAAGAAUACGAGUGCUUGCAAAAAACAAACCUACAACAACCCCACUAGAGAGAGAGUUUCCACCUAAAUUGGAAUAAUGAUGAAUAUUAUUUACCGCCUCCAAGGAAAAAAAUAACACAUUUGGGGUGUUUGGCUCAACUUCAAGUGAAUGCUCCAUAUUUGGGACUUCAAUUAUA